AUAUUAUCAAGAGUGGAGUAGAGAACGGCUCGUUAAUCCCACAGCAACCUGCAGUAUGUAAGGUGCUAAUACCGGCAAAGCAAAAGCUUUGAGUGAUGAUUU
Molecule: non-coding RNA, 102 nt
Filed under: Clostridium sp.
Lineage: Bacteria; Bacillati; Bacillota; Clostridia; Eubacteriales; Clostridiaceae
Description: SAM-I sequence
Rfam family: SAM riboswitch aptamer (S box leader)
About the family: The SAM riboswitch is found upstream of a number of genes which code for proteins involved in methionine or cysteine biosynthesis in Gram-positive bacteria. The SAM riboswitch acts at the level of transcription termination control.
Source: RNAcentral